RNAcentral lists this long non-coding RNA (1068 nucleotides) under Papio anubis (olive baboon). RNAcentral describes it as "lncRNA (ENSPANG00000044998.1)". The record is from RNAcentral. Lineage: Eukaryota; Metazoa; Chordata; Mammalia; Primates; Cercopithecidae.
AUGACAGUCUCGGGGUGGCUGCCUAAGGACUGUUUCUCGCAUCUCCCUUGCUGGGUCCUCUCCGCAAGCUUCCACAGUCCAUCAGUGGCCAUUGACUCAAAGUCCACCAUGGUGUGGGCCUGGGCAUGGGAUCAAGACCUGUCCACUUGUCCCCUCUCCCCCUCAAAACAAUUAUUUUCCAAGUCAAGUCAGCCCUUGAAAUCCACAAGGGCUGCUUCUCAGGAGAGAAGCCAUGAAGACUCCCUGACUGGACGGGAGGGGCUGCGCCCUGCUGCGGCCUCUCAUGGUCCCCUCCCAGGGGCCGGCAGCUCCAGGGUCCCCAGAUGGCAGGCCUGGGACACUGGUUCAGCAAACCUGUCAGGGGCCUUUCUCAGGCAGAGACUGAGAAAGAGACAGAAAAAGAAGCUGAAGAGGGAGGGCGGUUGCCCCAGGGAUGGAACGUCCUCCAGGGAGGUUAGCAUUGGUCGAUCCUCUCUCCACUCAGCAGGCAAGGAGGGACUGGAGGCCUGCAGGUGGAUUUACUUGGGCUGGGGACGGGACUGGGGCAAGGCAAGAGGGAGCCCCAGGAGGUGGCGCCACUGGGCUGUGCCCAAGAUAGGAUUGGAGCACGUGACCGAGCGCUGUGCAGGGAGGAAGCAGCGGGGCCUGAGAGUGCCCCGUGCCUCUGCCCAGAAACCAAGCCUGGGGCCGCAUGGGGCCCGCCAGGGAAGCCUGGGGCCGCUCACUUCUGUCCUGAGGAACCUCCUUGCUGGCCGAUUCCAGAUUUCUAGGUCUGCUCUGUGGAAGGCCUUGGGGAGGCGAGGAGAGCCUGGUCUAUGGGGAGACAGGUUUCUAGGCUUUCUCAACAGAGGCUGCUUUCAGAACAUCUGCCAGGCCCUCGGCCUGGACAAGUGGCAGCCCGGCAGCUCUCAGCCUCAAUUUCCAAGGUUCUCCAUCUCAGCCACAAAUGGGAGUCACUCUCAAUGUCCAGGCCCCAUCCCUAAACAAACCACAAUUUCUCGGGUGGGGCCCAGUACCCUGUAUUUUACAAAAGUCCCCCAGGUGAUUCCAGUGUGCAGGGAGGGGUGA